AAGUUAAAGUCUUGCAGGCCUUC
This 23-nucleotide transfer RNA is filed under the name Cnemaspis peninsularis. RNAcentral's name for it is "partial tRNA-Ala". Lineage: Eukaryota; Metazoa; Chordata; Lepidosauria; Squamata; Gekkonidae. The record is from RNAcentral.